This 113-nucleotide small nuclear RNA is filed under the name Oesophagostomum dentatum (nodular worm). RNAcentral describes it as "U2 spliceosomal RNA". It matches the Rfam family "U2 spliceosomal RNA". From Rfam's summary of the family: U2 is a small nuclear RNA (snRNA) component of the spliceosome (involved in pre-mRNA splicing). Lineage: Eukaryota; Metazoa; Nematoda; Chromadorea; Rhabditida; Strongylidae. The record is from Rfam by way of RNAcentral.
AUUAGUUCUCGGCCUUUUGGCUAAGAUCAAAUUUAGCUUCUAUUCUUAUCAAAUUAAACUUCGAUAGGGUCUCGAAUUAAUUGAUUGUUAAUGUUUUUCCUUCAUGAAUACUU